Long non-coding RNA from Mustela erminea (ermine), 375 nucleotides. RefSeq lists it as uncharacterized. The transcript is spliced from 3 exons. Lineage: Eukaryota; Metazoa; Chordata; Mammalia; Carnivora; Mustelidae. The record is from RefSeq and is a predicted model, not a curated record.
CCUGAAGCAACUGUCUUGAGAGAAUGGCAGAAUGGCCUUUGAAGACCCAGUCACAGUGCAAGCUAGGUGGGAAUGCCUUGCUGAGCUGAGGCCUAGAAGUCUUAGCUCCAAGGGGAGGAAUGAUUCAGGAAACACAGCAAUGAUUUCAUUGAAAUGGAAAUUAAGACUGCUGCCUUGGCACCUUGGAUUCCUCAUGAUUCUGAAUCAACAGACUAAGAAGGGAGUUACUGUGCAGAUUUGGUGAUAGAUCCCAAUUACCAAGGGGAAAUUGGAUUACUAUUCCACUAUAAAGACACAAAUGGAAACACUCGCUCUUUGGUCUCCUGGUUGCUGACUUACUGUGCAGAUAUUGGGAUUUGCCUGCCUCUAUAAUAG